This 482-nucleotide ribosomal RNA is filed under the name uncultured bacterium. Its description in RNAcentral is "partial 16S ribosomal RNA". It matches the Rfam family "Bacterial small subunit ribosomal RNA", at positions 28 to 507 of the family's 1533-position model. The record is from RNAcentral.
GAUGAACGCUAGCGGCAGGCCUAAUACAUGCAAGUCGGACGGGAUUCAGGAGCUUGCUUCUGAUGAGAGUGGCGCACGGGUGCGUAACACGUAUGUAACCUACCUUUAUCAGGGGGAUAGCCUCUCGAAAGAGAGAUUAAGCCCGCAUAAAAUCACAGCACAGCAUUGUGUAAUGAUCAAAUAUUUAUAGGAUAAAGAUGGGCAUGCGGAACAUUAGCUAGAUGGCGGGGUAACGGCCCACCAUGGCGACGAUGUUUAGGGGAUCUGAGAGGAUGGCCCCCCACACUGGUACUGAGACACGGACCAGACUCCUACGGGAGGCAGCAGUAGGGAAUAUUGGUCAAUGGGCGGAAGCCUGAACCAGCCAUGCCGCGUGCAGGAAGACGGCCCUACGGGUUGUAAACUGCUUUUAUACGGGAAUAAACCCAGAUACGUGUAUCUGGCUGAAUGUACUGUAAGAAUAAGGAUCGGCUAACUCCGUG